RNAcentral lists this long non-coding RNA (3269 nucleotides) under Betta splendens (Siamese fighting fish). RNAcentral's name for it is "lncRNA (ENSBSLG00000006374.1)". Lineage: Eukaryota; Metazoa; Chordata; Actinopteri; Anabantiformes; Osphronemidae. The record is from RNAcentral.
UUUCAGCAGUUGUUGUGGGUUCAGCUCUUGCUGUUGUUGUUGGUUCAGUAGUUGUGGAUUCAGCAGUUGUUGUUGUGGCUUCAGCAGUUGUUGUGGGUUCAGCUCUUGCUGUUGUUGUUGGUUCAGUAGUUGUGGAUUCAGCAGUUGUUGUUGUGGCUUCAGCAGUUGUUGUGGGUUCAGCUGUUGUUGUUGAUUCAGUAGUGGUUGUGGGUUCAGCUGUUGUUGUUGUGGGUUCAGCUGUCGUUGUAGUGGGUUCAGCAGUCGUUGUUGUGGGUUCGGCGGUUGUUGUGGGUUCGGUGGUUGUUGUUGGUUCAGCAGUUGUUGUUGUUGUUGUGGGUUCAGCCAUGGUUGUUGUGGGUUCAGCUGUUGUUGUUGGUUCAGCUGUUGUGUUAGGUUCAGAAGUUGUUGUAGGUUCAGCUGUUGUUGUUGUGGGUUCAGCAGUUGUUGUUGUUGGUUCAGUAGUUGUUGUGGGUUCAGCUGUUGUUGUGGGUUCAGCUAUUUUUGUCGUAGUUUGUUGAGAAGUUGUUGUUGGUGGUGGUGGUUGAGGAGUGGUUGUUGUUGUGGGUUUAGCAGUUGUUAUUGCCGCCGUCGUUUUGGGAGAAAAUGUUGUUCGUUGUGUAGUUGUCUUGAAAGAACCAUUUGUUGUUGCUGUUGUUUUGGAGGUACCAGCUGUUGUUGCUGUUGUUUUGGAGGAACCAGCUGUUGUUGCUGUUGUUUUGUAGGAACCAGCUGUUGUUGCUGUUGUUUUGGAAGAACCAGCUGAUGUUGGUGGUGCAUUUGUCGGAUUACAUGGGGUUGUAUUUGUUGAUUCACUGGGUGUAGAUGUUGCAGUUGUUUUGGGGUUAGGAGUUGUUUUUAGUGAAGUUGUGCUUGGUGCAAUUGUUGUUUUAGAUGUUGUAGGUUUAGCAGGUGUUGUUGUUGUAAAUGAUAGUUUAGGAGGUGUUGUUGUUGGUUUAGCAGUUGUUUUUGAGGAACCAGCUGUUGUUGCUGCUGUUGUUCUGAGGAAAACAGCUGUUGUUUUUCCAGUUGUUUUGGGAGAAGCAGCUGUUGUUGCUGCCGUUGUUUUGGGGGAGGUGGUCUUUGUUGCUGCUGUUGUUUUGGAUGAAGCAGCUGUUGCUGCUGCUGUUGUUUUGGAUGAAGCAGCUGUUGUUGCUGCUGUUGUUUUGGCGGAGGUAGUCUUUGUUGCUGCUGUUGUUUUGGGGAAAGGAGCUGUUGUUGUUGCAGUUUUUUGGGGGGAACCAGUUGUCGUUGCUGCAGUUGUUUUGGGGAAACCAGCUAUUGUUGUGGCUGCUGUUGUUUUGGCGGAGGUAGUCUUUGUUGCUGCACUUGUUUUAGGGGAAGCAGCUGUUGUUGCUGCUGUUGUUUUGGAUGAAGCAGCUGUUGUUGUCGCUGCUGUUGUUUUGGCGGAGGUAGUCUUUGUUGCUGCACUUGUUUUAGGGGAAGCAGCUGUUGUUGCUGCUGUUGUUUUGGAUGAAGCAGCUGUUGUUGUCGCUGCUGUUGUUUUGGCGGAGGUAGUCUUUGUUGCUGCAGUUGUUUUAGGGGAAGCAGCUGUUGUUGUUGCAAUUGUUUUGCGGGAAGCAGUUGUUGCUGCUGCAGUUGUUUUGGGGGAACAAUCUGUUGUUGUGGCUGCUGUCGUUUUGGAUGAAGCAGCUGUUGUUGCUGCUGUUUUGGGGGAACAAGCUGUUGUCGCUGCUGGUGUUUUGGCGGAACCAGUUGUCGAUUCUGCAGUUGUUUUGGGGGAAGAAGCUGUUGUUGUUGCAGUUGUUUUAGGGGAAACGGUCGUCGUUGCUGCAGUUGUUUUGGGGGAAGCAGCUGUUGUCGCUGCUGUUGUUUUGAUGGAGGUAGUAACUGUUUGUGCAGUUGUUGGUUUGUCAAUUGUUGUUGUUGAGUCACUAGUUUUUGUUGGUGUCACAGAUGUUAUUGUUCCUGACCUAGAUGUUGGGAAUGUAGUCAUAGUCGGUCUGUCAGUUGUGGGCCUUGUUGGUUUAGUGGUUGUCGUUGGUAAUGUAGUAACAGUUGUUUUAAAUGUAGUUGUUGGACCUGGACAAGGAGUGUUUUUUGUUGUAGUGGUUUGUGGUGCAGCAGUUGUUGUAGUUUUUGGUUGAGUUGCUCUAAUUGUUGGUUUAACAGUGGCUGGAGUUGUUGAUUCAGUUGUUGCUGAUUCAGUUGUUGAAGUUGUAGUUGUUGAUUCAGUUGCAGUUGAUUCAGUUGUUGGAUUAGCAGUUGUUGGUGGUGUACAAGGAGUGUUUUUUGCUGUAGUGGUUUGUGGUGCAGCAGUUGCUGUAACUGUUGGUUUUGCAGAUGUUGUAGUUUUUGAUUUAGUUGUUGUUAAUGAUUCAGUUGUUGUCAUUGUUGAUUCACUUGUUUCAGUUGUUGUAGUUGUUGGUUUAGCUGUUGUUUUCAUUGUUGAUUCCGUUAAUUCAGUUGUCUCUGUAAUUGUUGGUUUAGCAGUUGUUGUUGUUGUUGUUAAUGUAGUAGUUGUUGGUUCAAGAGUUGUUGGAUUAGCAGUUGUUGGACCUGGACAAGGAGUGGUUUUUGUUGCAGUGGUUUGUGGUGCAGCAGUUGUUGUAGUUGUUGGCUUAGUGGUUGUUGUUGUUGUUGUUGUUAAUGUAGUAACAGUUGUUGGACUUGGGGAAGAAGCUGCUUCUGUUGAUGUUCUUGUUUUUAAUGUAGUAGUUGUUGGUCCAGGAGGCAUUGGACCUGGACAAGGAGUGGUUUUUGAUGUAGUGGUUUGUGGUGCAGCAGUUGUUGUAGUUGUUGGCUUAGUGGUUGUUGUUGUUGUUGUUGUUGUUAAUGUAGUAACAGUUGUUGGACUUAGGGAAGAAGCUGCUUCUGUUGAUUUUGUUUUUAAUGUAGUAGUUGUUGGUCCAGGAGGCAUUGGACCUGGACAAGGAGUAGUUUUUGUUGUAGUGGCUUGUGGUGCAGCAGUUGUUGUUGUUGUUGUUAGUUUAGUGGUUGUUGUCGUAGUUGUUGGUGUAGCAGCUGCUAAUGGGGCACAGGUUGUUGUUUUUGCAGUAGUUUGUGUGUUGAGAAAAGCUGUUUAACAAACAGAAAUUCCACCACAAUAUAAUAUAGACAAUCAGACAAAUUUACUUUGUAUACAAUCAUGUUUUAUAUCUCUUUUUCAUAAGCAACACUUUUUUUCUCACCUCCGAUUAUUACGUCAAUGACAGUCCCCUGUGGGGCAGCAGAUGCUGUUGGAGCAGCUGUUGUCUCCAUAAAAGCUGUGGGUUAGAAAAUUUUUAAAAAUAAAAAAGUUCAUUUAUUCA